Molecule: non-coding RNA, 386 nt
Organism: Marmota flaviventris (yellow-bellied marmot)
Lineage: Eukaryota; Metazoa; Chordata; Mammalia; Rodentia; Sciuridae
Source: RefSeq, a predicted model, not a curated record
AUCAUCUGGAGUAACCCCUGAAGCUCAAAGUGGCAGCACACCUGGAGAGGCAGAGACUGCAUCCACUGGUUCAGGUACUACUGGACCAUCAGUGGAUAAAACAACCAGAGCCCCCAGCAGUGAAGUGACAUCACCUGAAGGGCACUCAGGCUCUACUGGAACUUCAGUUCCCAUCACCUCCACAGCUGGAAGUGCAGGCACCACAGCCCAACCGAGCCCUAGCUUCACCAGUCCUGGGGACACAGCAGAGACAGCUGGAGUGUCACCAGGUGGGACUACCACUAACAAUGGGAAUACAAGUGAGGCAGUCUUCCAAGAUGUUGGAACAGGAGGCCCUACUGCACCAACACCUAGCAAAGAGGAGGGCAGCACAUCCAGAGAACCCA